GACGUAGGGCGCAAGCGUUGUCCGGAAUUAUUGGGCGUAAAGAGCUCGUAGGCGGCUUGUUGCGUCGACUGUGAAAAACCACGACUCAACCGUGGGACUGCAGUCGAUACGGGCAGGCUAGAGUUCGGUAGGGGAGACUGGAAUUCCUGGUGUAGCGGUGAAAUGCGCAGAUAUCAGGAGGAACACCGGUGGCGAAGGCGGGUCUCUGGGCCGAUACUGACGCUGAGGUGCGAAAGCGUGGGGAGCAAACAGG
Molecule: ribosomal RNA, 253 nt
Filed under: uncultured bacterium
Lineage: Bacteria
Description: partial 16S ribosomal RNA
Rfam family: Bacterial small subunit ribosomal RNA
Source: RNAcentral